UAUCAUAAUUUGACUAUAAUGAACGGUUUAGGUCAGUUUGGGUCUCGUAGAUGUGAUCUGGCUUAGUCUACUGAUUAAACUUUUUAACGUUUACAUUCUAGCUUCUAGGUACUUUUUAUUUAUUUAUUUGCUUUGGUAUUUAUUAAUGGAUUGUUUGAGCAUUUAGCUAGUGUGUUAUUCGCACCCAAUUAAUAGUAUAAAUUGAAUUGUGGGGGAAAUCAAAACCUGGAGAAGUUGUUGUUCAGACACCUAGAAUUGGUGCAUUAUUUUGGGAGAACAAGUCCCUCUUCCUAAACAAAUAGAAAUAAAUCUUUUAUUUGGGGAUUUUACUUUCACAGGUUCACGCCUGAGGGUAUCUCAGAGGUGAAACCUAGAAAGAUAUCACUUUUAGUCAUGCAGUUCACUGAGAGGGAUGGAUGCAGUUUGGAUGCUACCUCCCUUGAUAAAUCUAACCCAUUUAUUGCUCGUGCAUUUCUUGAAGCUUGAAAAAGUCAGCUUCUGCAGUGAGGGUUAGCUAAACUUUGGCUUUCUGUUCACUUCAUAAAUACUAGCUUUCAUCACUUCAAAUCCCAACUGAAAAGAAGAGACGCAAACUGCCUGAAAAGUGUUUCCUGCAGAGAGUUUGAAUUCAGUACCACUGGAAGAAUCGUAACUAUAAAAUAAAUAGUUGCUGCUGUUGAACCUAUUUAAGCACAGAGAGCCCAGAGAGGUGAUAUCCCUGUGGCAACUGAUAACUGCCAUUACCUGAUGAAUAAAAGUGUCCGGAAGGCCAUAGGACUUCUAGUCCGUGAAUCAUCUCAGGUUAAGCUUGUUGUGAAACUACUACAUAAUUCUGGUCUGUUAAAAGAAGGUCUACACUAAUUUAUUGAUAUGAUAUUGAUACUAGAGAGAGACUGUUUUUGGCAAAUUUACUAGAUACGGACUAGUUCUCUGUAAAUUGUGGAUGGCUGUAUUCAAAAUUGCUGUCGAAGAUUCUGUACAUCAAUACCAUAAGCAUUAAAGAAUAGAAAACCACAGCAGUUA
This 1023-nucleotide long non-coding RNA is filed under the name Rosa chinensis. RNAcentral's name for it is "sRNA RchiOBHm_Chr7g0220121". Lineage: Eukaryota; Viridiplantae; Streptophyta; Magnoliopsida; Rosales; Rosaceae. The record is from RNAcentral.